RNAcentral lists this ribosomal RNA (508 nucleotides) under uncultured bacterium. RNAcentral's name for it is "bacterial SSU rRNA". It matches the Rfam family "Bacterial small subunit ribosomal RNA", at positions 8 to 518 of the family's 1533-position model. The record is from RNAcentral.
AGAGUUUGAUUAUGGCUCAGGAUGAACGCUGGCGGCGUGCCUAACACAUGCAAGUCGAGCGGGAAUAUUGGAAGAUAUUCGUAUCGGAAGAUAUCUAGCGGCGGACGGGUGAGUAACACGUGAGCAACCUACCUUUUUGCAGGGGAAUAACAGUGGGAAACCACUGCUAAUACCGCAUAACAUCACGAGGGGACAUCCUCUUGUGAUCAAAGGAGAAAUCCGGCAGAAGAUGGGCUCGCGUCCGAUUAGUUAGUUGGCGGGUAACGGCCCACCAAGACCGCGAUCGGUAGCCGAACUGAGAGGUUGAUCGGCCACAUUGGGACUGAGACACGGCCCAGACUCCUACGGGAGGCAGCAGUGGGGAAUAUUGGGCAAAUGGGGGAAACCCUGACCCAGCAACGCCGCGUGAAGGACGAAGGCCUUCGGGUUGUAAACUUCUUUGAUCAGGGACGAAACAAAUGACGGUACCUGAAGAACAAGCCACGGCUAACUACGUGCCAGCCGCGGC